RNAcentral lists this ribosomal RNA (253 nucleotides) under uncultured bacterium. RNAcentral's name for it is "partial 16S ribosomal RNA". It matches the Rfam family "Bacterial small subunit ribosomal RNA", at positions 524 to 776 of the family's 1533-position model. The record is from RNAcentral.
UACGGGGGGGGCAAGCGUUGUUCGGAAUUACUGGGCGUAAAGGGCUCGUAGGCGGCCAACUAAGUCAGACGUGAAAUCCCUCGGCUUAACCGGGGAACUGCGUCUGAUAUUGGAUGGCUUGAGAUUGGGAGAGGGAUGCGGAAUUCCAGGUGUAGCGGUGAAAUGCGUAGAUAUCUGGAGGAACACCGGUGGCGAAGGCGGCAUCCUGGACCAACACUGACGCUGAGGAGCGAAAGCCAGGGGAGCAAACGGG